GUGCUCGCUUCAGCAGCCCAUAUACUAACAAUGGAGCAAUAAGAGGAUUAGCAGGGCCCCUGCGCAAGGAUGGCAUGCAAAUGCGUGAAGCAGUCCAUAUUUAA
Molecule: small nuclear RNA, 104 nt
Organism: Myotis lucifugus (little brown bat)
Lineage: Eukaryota; Metazoa; Chordata; Mammalia; Chiroptera; Vespertilionidae
Source: Ensembl